RNAcentral lists this ribosomal RNA (1343 nucleotides) under uncultured bacterium. RNAcentral describes it as "16S ribosomal RNA". It matches the Rfam family "Bacterial small subunit ribosomal RNA", at positions 28 to 1378 of the family's 1533-position model. The record is from RNAcentral.
GACGAACGCUGGCGGCGUGCUUAACACAUGCAAGUCGAACGGAAAGGCCCUGCUUUUGUGGGGUGCUCGAGUGGCGAACGGGUGAGUAACACGUGAGUAACCUGCCCUUGACCUUGGGAUAACUUCAGGAAACUGGGGCUAAUACCGGAUAGGAGCUCCUGCUGCAUGGUGGGGGUUGGAAAGUUUCGGCGGUUGGGGAUGGACUCGCGGCUUAUCAGCUUGUUGGUGGGGUAGUGGCUUACCAAGGCUUUGACGGGUAGCCGGCCUGAGAGGGUGACCGGCCACAUUGGGACUGAGAUACGGCCCAGACUCCUACGGGAGGCAGCAGUGGGGAAUAUUGCACAAUGGGCGGAAGCCUGAUGCAACAACGCCGCGUGCGGGAUGACGGCCUUCGGGUUGUAAACCGCUUUCGCCUGUGACGAAGCGUGAGUGACGGUAAUGGGUAAAGAAGCACCGGCUAACUACGUGCCAGCAGCCGCGGUGAUACGUAGGGUGCGAGCGUUGUCCGGAUUUAUUGGGCGUAAAGGGCUCGUAGGUGGUUGAUCGCGUCGGAAGUGUAAUCUUGGGGCUUAACCCUGAGCGUGCUUUCGAUACGGGUUGACUUGAGGAAGGUAGGGGAGAAUGGAAUUCCUGGUGGAGCGGUGGAAUGCGCAGAUAUCAGGAGGAACACCAGUGGCGAAGGCGGUUCUCUGGGCCUUUCCUGACGCUGAGGAGCGAAAGCGUGGGGAGCGAACAGGCUUAGAUACCCUGGUAGUCCACGCUGUAAACGGUGGGUACUAGGUGUGGGGUCCAUUCCACGGGUUCCGUGCCGUAGCUAACGCUUUAAGUACCCCGCCUGGGGAGUACGGCCGCAAGGCUAAAACUCAAAGGAAUUGACGGGGCCCCGCACAAGCGGCGGAGCAUGCGGAUUAAUUCGAUGCAACGCGUAGAACCUUACCUGGGUUUGACAUGGAUCGGGAGCGCUCAGAGAUGGGUGUGCCUCUUAUGGGGUCGGUUCACAGGUGGUGCAUGGCUGUCGUCAGCUCGUGUCGUGAGAUGUUGGGUUAAGUCCCGCAACGAGCGCAACCCUUGUUCACUGUUGCCAGCACGUUAUGGUGGGGACUCAGUGGAGACCGCCGGGGUCAACUCGGAGGAAGGUGGGGAUGACGUCAAGUCAUCAUGCCCCUUAUGUCCAGGGCUUCACGCAUGCUACAAUGGCUGGUACAGAGAGUGGCGAGCCUGUGAGGGUGAGCGAAUCUCGGAAAGCCGGUCUCAGUUCGGAUUGGGGUCUGCAACUCGACCUCAUGAAGUCGGAGUCGCUAGUAAUCGCAGAUCAGCAACGCUGCGGUGAAUACGUUCCCGGG